Molecule: long non-coding RNA, 355 nt
Organism: Pipistrellus kuhlii (Kuhl's pipistrelle)
Lineage: Eukaryota; Metazoa; Chordata; Mammalia; Chiroptera; Vespertilionidae
Exons: 3
Source: RefSeq, a predicted model, not a curated record
AAAAUCCUCACCUGAGGGUAUUUUUUCCAUUGCUUUUUAGAGUAGAAGGGCGAGAGGAUGGGGGAGAGAGAGAAACAUCCACUGGUUUCCUGGCACACUGGCCCCGAACAGGGCUGGGGAUCAAACCUAUAACCCUUCGGUUCCCAGGCUGACCGUUGUGGUUCUAACCCAUGAGACACUGGCCAGGGUAAUCAUCAUAACAGCUUUCAAAGAUCAGACCAGCUUUCCCCCUAAAGAGGCCAUGCCCUCAGGAACUGGGGCAAACGGGGCCCCCUGGGUGCUGGAUCGGGGGCCUCAGCCCUGGGGGUCUGGGCAGUCUCGGGGUCAGGGGGCCCACGGGCCCCUCUGAGGCCUG